UGGGGAAGUUUUCCGCAAUGGGCGAAAGCCUGACGGAGCAAUGCCGCGUGGAGGUGGAAGGCCUACGGGUCGUCAACUUCUUUUCUCGGAGAAGAAACAAUGACGGUAUCUGAGGAAUAAGCAUUGGCUAACUCUGUGCCAG
RNAcentral lists this ribosomal RNA (142 nucleotides) under uncultured bacterium. RNAcentral's name for it is "partial 16S rRNA". It matches the Rfam family "Bacterial small subunit ribosomal RNA", at positions 355 to 511 of the family's 1533-position model. The record is from RNAcentral.